GACGGAAGGCGCAAGCGUUGCUCGGAAUCACUGGGCGUAAAGGGUGCGUAGGCGGCCGCGCAAGUCUGGCGUGAAAGCCCCGGGCUCAGCCCGGGAAGGGCGCUCGAAACGGCGCGGCUCGAGUGCCGGAGGGGAGAGUGGAAUUCCUGGUGUAGCGGUGAAAUGCGUAGAUAUCAGGAGGAAUACCGGUGGCGAAAGCGACUCUCUGGACGGCAACUGACGCUGAGGCACGAAAGCGUGGGGAGCAAACAGG
Molecule: ribosomal RNA, 253 nt
Filed under: uncultured bacterium
Lineage: Bacteria
Description: partial 16S ribosomal RNA
Rfam family: Bacterial small subunit ribosomal RNA
Source: RNAcentral